AGUCGAGCGCGGGAAGCGAGUGGAUCCCUUCGGGGUGAAGCUCGUGGAACGAGCGGCGGACGGGUGAGUAACACGUGGGCAACCUGCCUGUAAGAUCGGAAUAACCCCGGGAAACCGGGGCUAAUGCCGGGUAAUACUUUCUUUCGCAUGAAGGAAAGUUGAAAGAUGGCUUCUUGCUAUCACUUACAGAUGGGCCCGCGGCGCAUUAGCUAGUUGGUGAGGUAACGGCUCACCAAGGCGACGAUGCGUAGCCGACCUGAGAGGGUGAUCGGCCACACUGGGACUGAGACACGGCCCAGACUCCUACGGGAGGCAGCAGUAGGGAAUCUUCCGCAAUGGACGAAAGUCUGACGGAGCAACGCCGCGUGAACGAUGAAGGUCUUCGGAUCGUAAAGUUCUGUUGUUAGGGAAGAACAAGUACCGUGCGAAUAGAGCGGUACCUUGACGGUACCUAACGAGGAAGCCCCGGCUAACUACGUGCCAGCAGCCGCGGUAAUACGUAGGGGGCAAGCGUUGUCCGGAAUUAUUGGGCGUAAAGCGCGCGCAGGCGGUUCCUUAAGUCUGAUGUGAAAGCCCACGGCUCAACCGUGGAGGGUCAUUGGAAACUGGGGAACUUGAGGACAGAAGAGGAGAGUGGAAUUCCACGUGUAGCGGUGAAAUGCGUAGAUAUGUGGAGGAACACCAGUGGCGAAGGCGACUCUCUGGUCUGUUUCUGACGCUGAGGUGCGAAAGCGUGGGUAGCAAACAGGAUUAG
This 754-nucleotide ribosomal RNA is filed under the name Halobacillus trueperi. RNAcentral describes it as "bacterial SSU rRNA". It matches the Rfam family "Bacterial small subunit ribosomal RNA", at positions 60 to 781 of the family's 1533-position model. The record is from RNAcentral. Lineage: Bacteria; Bacillati; Bacillota; Bacilli; Caryophanales; Bacillaceae.